GUCCAGCUGACGAGUCCCGAAUAAGACGAAACGUGCACCCUGGAU
RNAcentral lists this non-coding RNA (45 nucleotides) under Schistosoma mattheei. The record is from RNAcentral. Lineage: Eukaryota; Metazoa; Platyhelminthes; Trematoda; Strigeidida; Schistosomatidae.